This 253-nucleotide ribosomal RNA is filed under the name uncultured bacterium. RNAcentral's name for it is "partial 16S ribosomal RNA". It matches the Rfam family "Bacterial small subunit ribosomal RNA", at positions 524 to 776 of the family's 1533-position model. The record is from RNAcentral.
UACGAAGGGGGCUAGCGUUGCUCGGGAUCACUGGGCGUAAAGGGUGCGUAGGCGGGUCUUUAAGUCAGGGGUGAAAUCCUGGAGCUCAACUCCAGAACUGCCUUUGAUACUGAAGAUCUUGAGUUCGGGAGAGGUGAGUGGAACUGCGAGUGUAGAGGUGAAAUUCGUAGAUAUUCGCAAGAACACCAGUGGCGAAGGCGGCUAUCUGGACGGUUUCUGACGCUAAGACGCGAAAGCGUGGGGAGCAAACAGG